Molecule: ribosomal RNA, 467 nt
Filed under: uncultured bacterium
Lineage: Bacteria
Description: partial 16S ribosomal RNA
Rfam family: Bacterial small subunit ribosomal RNA
Source: RNAcentral
GACGAACGCUGGCGGCGUGCUUAACACAUGCAAGUCGAACGGAAAGGCCCUGCUUUUGUGGGGUGCUCGAGUGGCGAACGGGUGAGUAACACGUGAGUAACCUGCCCUUGACUUUGGGAUAACUUCAGGAAACUGGGGCUAAUACCGGAUAGGAGCUCCUGCUGCAUGGUGGGGGUUGGAAAGUUUCGGCGGUUGGGGAUGGACUCGCGGCUUAUCAGCUUGUUGGUGGGGUAGUGGCUUACCAAGGCUUUGACGGGUAGCCGGCCUGAGAGGGUGACCGGCCACAUUGGGACUGAGAUACGGCCCAGACUCCUACGGGAGGCAGCAGUGGGGAAUAUUGCACAAUGGGCGGAAGCCUGAUGCAGCAACGCCGCGUGCGGGAGGACGGCCUUCGGGCGGUAAACCGCUUUCGCCUGUGACGAAGCGUGAGUGACGGUAAUGGGUAAAGAAGCACCGGCUAACUACGU